RNAcentral lists this ribosomal RNA (465 nucleotides) under uncultured bacterium. RNAcentral's name for it is "bacterial SSU rRNA". It matches the Rfam family "Bacterial small subunit ribosomal RNA", at positions 338 to 795 of the family's 1533-position model. The record is from RNAcentral.
CCUACGGGGGGCAGCAGUGGGGAAUAUUGGACAAUGGGCGAAAGCCUGAUCCAGCCAUGCCGCGUGUGUGAAGAAGGUCUUCGGAUUGUAAAGCACUUUAAGUUGGGAGGAAGGGCAGUAAGUUAAUACCUUGCUGUUUUGACGUUACCGACAGAAUAAGCACCGGCUAACUCUGUGCCAGCAGCCGCGGUAAUACAGAGGGUGCAAGCGUUAAUCGGAAUUACUGGGCGUAAAGCGCGCGUAGGUGGUUCGUUAAGUUGGAUGUGAAAGCCCCGGGCUCAACCUGGGAACUGCAUCCAAAACUGGCGAGCUAGAGUAUGGUAGAGGGUGGUGGAAUUUCCUGUGUAGCGGUGAAAUGCGUAGAUAUAGGAAGGAACACCAGUGGCGAAGGCGACCACCUGGACUGAUACUGACACUGAGGUGCGAAAGCGUGGGGAGCAAACAGGAUUAGAUACCCCAGUAGUC